This 406-nucleotide ribosomal RNA is filed under the name uncultured bacterium. Its description in RNAcentral is "partial 16S ribosomal RNA". It matches the Rfam family "Bacterial small subunit ribosomal RNA", at positions 29 to 526 of the family's 1533-position model. The record is from RNAcentral.
AUUGAACGCUGGCGGCAGGCCUAACACAUGCAAGUCGAACGGGAGGCGGACGGGUGAGUAAGGUCUGGGCACCUGCCUGAUGGAGGGGGACAACUACUGGAAACGGUAGCUAAUACCGCCUACCAUCGGAUGUGCCGAGAUGGGAUGAGCUAGUUGGUGGGGUAACGGCUCACCAAGGCGACGAGCCCUAGCUGGUCUGAGAGGAUGACCAGCCACACUGGAACUGAGACACGGCCCAGACGCCUACGGGAGGCAGCAGUGGGGAAUGUUGCACAAUGGGCGAAAGCCUGAUGCAGCCAUGCCGCGUGUAUGAAGAAGGCCUUCGGGUUGUAAAGUACUUUCAGCGGGGAGGCGUUACCCGCAGAAUAAGCACCGGCUAACUACGUGCCAGCAGCCGCGGUAAUUC